RNAcentral lists this ribosomal RNA (110 nucleotides) under Salmo salar (Atlantic salmon). Lineage: Eukaryota; Metazoa; Chordata; Actinopteri; Salmoniformes; Salmonidae. The record is from RNAcentral.
GCUUACGGCCAUAUCAGCCUGGAGUACGCCUGAUCUCGGAAGCUAAGCAGGGUCGGGCCUGGUUAGUACUUGGAUGGGAGACCGCCUGGGAAUACCAGGUGCUGUAAGCA